AGCGAACGCUGGCGGCAGGCUUAACACAUGCAAGUCGAGCGGGCGUAGCAAUACGUCAGCGGCAGACGGGUGAGUAACGCGUGGGAACAUACCUCUUGGUUCGGAACAACACAGGGAAACUUGUGCUAAUACCGGAUAAGCCCUUUACGGGGAAAGAUUUAUCGCCGAGAGAUUGGCCCGCGUCUGAUUAGCUAGUUGGUGAGGUAACGGCUCACCAAGGCGACGAUCAGAGCUGGUCUGAGAGGAUGAUCAGCCACAUUGGGACUGAGACACGGCCCAAACU
RNAcentral lists this ribosomal RNA (283 nucleotides) under uncultured bacterium. RNAcentral's name for it is "partial 16S ribosomal RNA". It matches the Rfam family "Bacterial small subunit ribosomal RNA", at positions 29 to 337 of the family's 1533-position model. The record is from RNAcentral.